RNAcentral lists this ribosomal RNA (297 nucleotides) under Triticum aestivum (bread wheat). RNAcentral's name for it is "partial small subunit ribosomal RNA". The record is from RNAcentral. Lineage: Eukaryota; Viridiplantae; Streptophyta; Magnoliopsida; Poales; Poaceae.
AUGGACAAUGUGUUCCCUGGAGUAGAGCAUAGGGAAUGCAUGCGUCACCUUGCUGCAAAUUUCAUGAAGAAAUUCAAAGGAAAGGUGUAUACCGACAAUUUAUGGCUAGCAUCUUUGACUUGCAGUGUGAAGAAGCACAACUACCACUUGAGGCAGUUAUACAUGAAUCCCAAAGUGAAAGAAUACUUGGAAACACACCACUCCAAGUUAUGGGCCAGAAGCCAAUUCGGUGAAGUGAGCAAAGUUGACUAUGUGCACAAUAAUCUAGCAGAGUCUUUCAACUCAACGAUCCGGAAA